RNAcentral lists this transfer RNA (56 nucleotides) under Camelus bactrianus (Bactrian camel). It matches the Rfam family "tRNA", at positions 9 to 63 of the family's 71-position model. Rfam says of the family: Transfer RNA (tRNA) molecules are approximately 80 nucleotides in length. Their secondary structure includes four short double-helical elements and three loops (D, anti-codon, and T loops). The record is from Rfam by way of RNAcentral. Lineage: Eukaryota; Metazoa; Chordata; Mammalia; Artiodactyla; Camelidae. RNAcentral also lists the same sequence under 2 other names.
AGCUCAGUGGUAGAGUACAUGCUUAGCAUGCAUGAGGUCCUGGGUUUGAUCCCCAG